This 633-nucleotide ribosomal RNA is filed under the name Collybiopsis peronata. RNAcentral's name for it is "partial 28S ribosomal RNA". It matches the Rfam family "Eukaryotic large subunit ribosomal RNA", at positions 85 to 701 of the family's 3401-position model. Lineage: Eukaryota; Fungi; Basidiomycota; Agaricomycetes; Agaricales; Omphalotaceae. The record is from RNAcentral.
AAGCGCGAGUGAACAGGGAAAAGCUCAAAUUUAAAAUCUGAUAGUCUCUGGCUGUCCGAGUUGUAAUUUAGAGAAGUGUUACCCGUGUUCGACCGUGUACAAGUCUCCUGGGAUGGAGCGUCAUAGAGGGUGAGAAUCCCGUCUUUGACACGGACUACCAAUGCAUUGUGGUGCGCUCUCGAAGAGUCGAGUUGUUUGGGAAUGCAGCUCUAAAUGGGUGGUAAAUUCCAUCUAAAGCUAAAUAUUGGGGAGAGACCGAUAGCGAACAAGUAGCGUGAGGGAAAGAUGAAAAGAACUUUGGAAAGAGAGUUAAACAGUACGUGAAAUUGCUGAAAGGGAAACGCUUGAAGUCAGUCGCGUUAGCAGGGGAUCAGCCUUCCUUUUGGUUGGUGUAUUUCCUAGUUGAUGGGUCAGCAUCAGUUUUGACCAGUGGAUAAAAGCUUGAGGAAUGUGGCAUCCUCGGAUGUGUUAAAAGCCUCUUGUUGUAUACAUUGGUUGGGACUGAGGAAUUCAGCACGCCGCAAGCCGGGUUUUUAACCACGUUCGUGCUUAGGAUGCUGGCAUAAUGGCUUUAAUCGACCCGUCUUGAAACACGGACCAAGGAGUCUAAGCCGAGUGCGAGUGUUUGGGUGG